This 490-nucleotide ribosomal RNA is filed under the name uncultured bacterium. Its description in RNAcentral is "partial 16S ribosomal RNA". It matches the Rfam family "Bacterial small subunit ribosomal RNA", at positions 30 to 507 of the family's 1533-position model. The record is from RNAcentral.
AUUGAACGCUGGCGGCAGGCCUAACACAUGCAAGUCGAACGGUAACAGGAAGCAGCUUGCUGCUUUGCUGACGAGUGGCGGACGGGUGAGUAAUGUCUGGGAAACUGCCUGAUGGAGGGGGAUAACUACUGGAAACGGUAGCUAAUACCGCAUAACGUCGCAAGACCAAAGAGGGGGACCUUCGGGCCUCUUGCCAUCGGAUGUGCCCAGAUGGGAUUAGCUAGUAGGUGGGGUAACGGCUCACCUAGGCGACGAUCCCUAGCUGGUCUGAGAGGAUGACCAGCCACACUGGAACUGAGACACGGUCCAGACUCCUACGGGAGGCAGCAGUGGGGAAUAUUGCACAAUGGGCGCAAGCCUGAUGCAGCCAUGCCGCGUGUAUGAAGAAGGCCUUCGGGUUAUAAAGUACUUUCAGCGGGGAGGAAGGGAGUAAAGUUAAUACCUUUGCUCAUUGACGUUACCCGCAGAAGAAGCACCGGCUAACUCCGUG